ACAUAGAUUUCAAAAUCUUUUUGAAGUAGCAGCAGAAAUGAUUUAUGUUAAAUUUUUUAACCCCACAUGCAAUAGAUCUAAUCUAUAUCUAUCCAAGCUCUAGGUCUAAAACAUACAUAUAAUCUAAAAAUUAAAAUAGAAAAAUUGAGAUCCGAUCUCAAUAUAUUGUGCAGGUUGAAAUACACUGCAAUCGAUGAUCCU
Molecule: long non-coding RNA, 201 nt
Filed under: Elaeis guineensis (African oil palm)
Lineage: Eukaryota; Viridiplantae; Streptophyta; Magnoliopsida; Arecales; Arecaceae
Description: long non-coding RNA (EGUI_LNC065931)
Source: RNAcentral